This 347-nucleotide ribosomal RNA is filed under the name uncultured bacterium. RNAcentral describes it as "bacterial SSU rRNA". It matches the Rfam family "Bacterial small subunit ribosomal RNA", at positions 32 to 368 of the family's 1533-position model. The record is from RNAcentral.
AAUCAACGCUGGCGGCGUGCCUCAGACAUGCAAGUCGAACGCGAAAGUCCCCUUCGGGGAGUGAUUAGAGUGGCGCACGGGUGAGUAACACGUAGGUAAUCUACCUUCGAGUGGGGAAGUAACUCAGGGAAACGUUAGAGCUAAUACCGCAUAAUGCAGCGGCACCACAUGGUGACAGUUGUUAAAGCAUUUAUGCGCUUGAAGAGGAGCCUGCGGCGGAUAGCUAGUUGGUAAGGUAAUGGCUUACCAAGGCUACGAUCUGUAACCGGCCUGAGAGGGCGGACGGUCACACUGACACUGAAUAACGGGUCAGACUCCUACGGGAGGCAGCAGUCGGGAAUUUUGGG